RNAcentral lists this ribosomal RNA (488 nucleotides) under uncultured bacterium. RNAcentral's name for it is "bacterial SSU rRNA". It matches the Rfam family "Bacterial small subunit ribosomal RNA", at positions 28 to 533 of the family's 1533-position model. The record is from RNAcentral.
GAUGAACGCUGGCGGCGUGCUUAAUACAUGCAAGUCGAACGGAGGCAGUAGCAAUAUUGUCUUAGUGGCGAACGGGUGAGUAACGCGUUGGUGACCUGCCUCGAAGAGAGGGAUAACAGUCCGAAAGGAUUGCUAAUACCCCAUGUGGUCAUUUGGAUUAGAUGCCUUUUGACUAAACGGAUUUAUUCACUUCGAGAGGGGCCUGCGUCCCAUCAGCUAGUUGGUAGGGUAAUGGCCUACCAAGGCGAUGACGGGUAGGGGACCUGAGAGGGUGGCCCCCCACAAUGGAACUGAAACACGGUCCAUACACCUACGGGUGGCAGCAGUAGGGAAUAUUGGUUAAUCUGCGAAAGCGGGAACCAGCAACGCCGCGUGCACGAUGAAGGCCUUGGGUUGUAAAGUGCUUUUUGAAAGGAUGAGGAAGGACAGUACUUUCAGAAUAAGCUUCGGCUAACUACGUGCCAGCAGCCGCGGUAAGAGUACUCUAU